Molecule: unclassified non-coding RNA, 2149 nt
Filed under: Pomacea canaliculata
Lineage: Eukaryota; Metazoa; Mollusca; Gastropoda; Architaenioglossa; Ampullariidae
Description: peroxisomal leader peptide-processing protease-like, transcript variant X2
Source: RNAcentral
AAGGGGCGUAUAUCUAAGGCCAUCAGAAGACGACCAGAUUCCGUAACACAGCCAAAUUCCUCCUCGGCCAGAUGCAUUUCGUCUACUCAAAAAGUGAUGACGUCAGAGCGCGUGACUGGCAGUGGCGACAGUGACACACAAAGCAGCCAUUUAUAGCCGGGUGUUGGUAACAGAGAAUGGCAACAAGGCGAGAGGGUGGUAGUGCGCGCAGAGGGGCUUUACGGUGCAAGCUUGAUGGCCCGCCCACUCUCAAUACGCCAGCCUUUGUUGCGGAACUGAACCUAAAUUUUACAUAACGCGGAGUUUUGAAGAUCAAAUUCAGAGGUGACAGCAAUCCUCUCUCGUAAAUUAAAGAACGAUCUGUGUACUUGUAAAUCGAUAAUACGUAUCUCACGGAUGUGUAAAUAAGUAAACUUCGUGAUGCAUAUUUCCUUUGGAGUACGCACAAACAAAAAUGUCGAUUGUAGUCAUCAGUCGAAAACUUGCGAUUAAAAAGGGGAGAGUUACGAAGAAGUGAGAUCCUAGCGAGCUAUAUACUGCAUGGUGUCGAAAAUAAAUCAGAAAUGGCAACUAACAAAAGAAAAACAAUGUUUAAACCAGCCUGUGUUGUGACAAUUACCCAUGGGGAUAUUCAUGCAAACAAAGGUUCUUGCUGUGGAAUUCUGAUUGAUACAUCCAUUGGGUAUGUUCUUUCUCAUGGCUCCAUUCUUGCUUCUUGUCUUCUAAAAGGAUUGAGGUUAAAUCAGGGAGAACAUACGUUAAACACUUUCAUUAAUAAUAAGAACCUGAUGUGUGAAGUUCUUGCUGAGGAAUCUCCAGACUUGUGGAAUUCUAACCAGACUGGAAACUUGCAUGAAACUCCGUCUAUUGAAACUGCAGUAACAAGUGUUUCAACUGACAAUCAGAUUUCAAAAGACCUGCAACACAUCAAGUGGAGAAGUGACGUGCACUCUUUUGUCAGUUUUUCUGCUAGCAUUGUAGACAUUUUUAAGUGUUCAGCAUUCCAAAGUGCUUUGGAACGGCUGAUGCCAGAUUCCUCCUGGGAACUGGUGGAUAGGAAGGGUGAAAAACAAAAUUCAGAUGAUGCAGUUCUGGAUGACACUCAGAACCAGGACAUGCACAGCUUAUUGAGUUAUUUUGUUUUGUUGAAGCUACAUAACUGGACUCCAUACAAAAGUAAAGAGGUAGUUCGUCCUGCAGAGUACUGUCAGAUUGGUGAACAGGUAGAAAUAUGUUCUACUCCGUUUGGUGGUUUUAAACCAGAAGCAUUCCUCAACUCUUAUAGUCAUGGAAUAAUCAGUAACUUAGCAGGAAGGGACAAUUGCCUCAUUUUAUCUGAUGCAAGAUGCAUUCCUGGUGGAGAAGGAGCCCCACUCUACACCAUAAUCCAUUCCAAAAGAUAUCUGACAGGUAUUGUUGUAGCAUCUCUGUGCUGGAAGAAUGAUGAAUGGAUUGGCUUUUGCAUCUCAUGUGCCAUUGAUAAAAUUUUAGACAGUCUGCCAACUGAUAAAAUGAGUUGUAUUCACCGUUACAUCAGGGGAGUUCCACCUUCUGAUGGUGGAGAGAGAUCUUUAUUAGGGUAUAUGCCCUUAUUUCCUGUCACUGUGCUGCUGCAAGUUGGAAAGACGUGGGGCUCAGGGGUGAUAAUAGGCAAGAAGGAACGGCUGGUUCUGACAUGCAGUCAUGUUAUAAAGGAUGCUAACUUGUUCCCAGUUGAGGCAAAGAUUGGUUCUGAUGACAGGCUUAUCAAGACAGAGGUUAUACAUCGACAGCAUCCUUUGCACCAUCAAUUUGAUCUAGGCCUUGUCAGACUUUCUUGUGGAGAACAACAGCUUGGCAUGCAGAAAGAUGUUGUAGAAUGUGCCAAGCCUACUGUUGGAAUGAAAGUUUUUGCAGUUGGCUAUGGUGUUUUUGGCGCUGAGCACAAUCUUGCACCCUCUGUGACCUCAGGGGUCAUCUCAAAAGUAUUGCAUUUUAAACACAUUCCAGUGAUGGUUCAGAUUCACUAGCCAAGAUACAUGUGUCUGCAGACUACAUGCGCUGUACAUCCAGGAGCUAGUGGGGGCGCUCUGGUUGAUGGUUUGGGGCGUUUGCUGGGUAUCAUUGUCUGCAAUACGAGGGAUAACUCAUCUGGAGCUAGUUUUCCACA